AACGAACGCUGGCGGCAUGCCUAACACAUGCAAGUCGAACGAGACCUUCGGGUUUAGUGGCGCACGGGUGCGUAACGCGUGGGAACCUGCCCUUAGGUUCGGCAUAACUCCCCGAAAGGGGUGCUAAUACCGGAUAAUGUCUUCGGACCAAAGAUUUAUCGCCUUUGGAUGGGCCGGCGUGGGAUUAGCUAGUUGGUAGGGUAAAAGCCUACCAAGGCGACGAUCCAUAGCUGGUCUGAGAGGAAGGUCAGCCACACUGGGACUGGGACACGGCCCAGACUCCUACGGGAGGCAGCAGUGGGGAAUAUUGGACAAUGGGCGGAGUCCUGAUCCAGCAAUGCCGCGUGAGUGAUGAAGGCCUUAGGGUUGUAAAGCGCUUUUACCCGGGAUGAUAAUGACAGUACCGGGAGAAUAAGCACCGGCUAACUCCGUG
This 433-nucleotide ribosomal RNA is filed under the name uncultured bacterium. Its description in RNAcentral is "partial 16S ribosomal RNA". It matches the Rfam family "Bacterial small subunit ribosomal RNA", at positions 29 to 507 of the family's 1533-position model. The record is from RNAcentral.